GACAGAGGGUGCAAACGUUGUUCGGAAUUACUGGGCGUAAAGCGCGCGUAGGCGGGCAUCUAAGUCAGGGGUGAAAUGCCAGGGCUCAACCUUGGAAUUGCCUUUGAUACUGGAUGUCUGGAGUUCGGGAGAGGUGAGUGGAAUUCCGAGUGUAGAGGUGAAAUUCGUAGAUAUUCGGAGGAACACCAGAAGCGAAGGCGGCUCACUGGCCCGAUACUGACGCUGAGGCGCGAAAGCGUGGGGAGCAAACAGG
This 253-nucleotide ribosomal RNA is filed under the name uncultured bacterium. RNAcentral describes it as "partial 16S ribosomal RNA". It matches the Rfam family "Bacterial small subunit ribosomal RNA", at positions 524 to 776 of the family's 1533-position model. The record is from RNAcentral.